This 170-nucleotide unclassified non-coding RNA is filed under the name uncultured fungus. RNAcentral describes it as "sequence contains ITS1". Lineage: Eukaryota; Fungi. The record is from RNAcentral.
UUGACUAGUUUAGAAGCGUAUUCAGACGACGUAGGGUCUAAUAGAGCUAUCGUAAACCUUCGGCGGGCGCGGCAAGAGCCAGCGGCCCGCCGAAGCAACAGUUUCAGGUUCGCGUCGGGUCUGAGUGUGAAAACUCUUUAAUGAUCCCUCCGCUGGUUCACCAACGGAGA